AGCGAACGCUGGCGGCAGGCCUAACACAUGCCAGUCGAACGAACCUUUCGGGGUUAGUGGCGGACGGGUGAGUAACACGUGGGAACGUGCCUUUAGGUUCGGAAUAACUCAGGGAAACUUGUGCUAAUACCGAAUGUGCCCUUCGGGGGAAAGAUUAAUCGCCUUUAGAGCGGCCCGCGUCUGAUUAGCUAGUUGGUUGAGGUAAUGGCUCACCAAGGCGACGAUCAGUAGCUGGUCUGAGAGGAUGAUCAGCCACAUUGGGACUGAGACACGGCCCAAACUCCUACGGGAGGCAGCAGUGGGGAAUCUUGCGCAAUGGGCGAAAGCCUGACGCAGCCAUGCCGCGUGAAUGAUGAAGGUCUUAGGAUUGUAAAAUUCUUUCACCGGGGACGAUAAUGACGGUAACCGGAGAAGAAGCCCCGGCUAACUUCGUG
Molecule: ribosomal RNA, 434 nt
Filed under: uncultured bacterium
Lineage: Bacteria
Description: partial 16S ribosomal RNA
Rfam family: Bacterial small subunit ribosomal RNA
Source: RNAcentral